Long non-coding RNA from Mercenaria mercenaria, 3078 nucleotides. RefSeq lists it as uncharacterized. The record is from RefSeq and is a predicted model, not a curated record. The transcript is spliced from 7 exons. Lineage: Eukaryota; Metazoa; Mollusca; Bivalvia; Venerida; Veneridae.
CAAGGGUUAUCUAGCACCGGAUCGGGCCUGCCACUCCGCCCCUCCCAAACUUCCCCUACGUAAACUCUCUAGAAAAUGGAAUGAAUAUUUGACACCUGGUAUCUGCGUCUUGUUUCUUUCAUAAAUACCUCUUCUUGUAGCAUAAAAGAUGCAAGCUAAACCAUAAAAUGUUUUGCUGUAUCAGUUACCAACGCCAAAUACGCUGCCCCCAACAAUGUUCGUACUCACUUCUUCCCUUGUUUACUCACAUUUUAGAACUUGGCGUCGUUUCAGUUUUUGUAGAUAACCGUUAAUAUUUAAGAAACGCGUGUAACUUGUUCGAUUGUUUGUUUUUAGGAAUCAUAUUUAUGAUUUUGGUAAGUGUCGGUAUGUUUUUAUCUAAUUUCUGGAAGAAUAUAUAUAAACAGCUUGAAAGUUUGACAUUACAUUCGUACUCAUCCGUACUCCAGAUGUGUCCGUACUCAAAGUAACUCGAAUGUAAAGUUAUUAUCCUUGAAAGUGGGUUCCUGUUUACCAAAUGUUGAAGUUAUAUGAAUAUUUUUUUUGUAUUUCAUGUUUGUUAUAAUGAGAGAUAAAAAUCGUGUAAAAAUCUUCAGUAUGUGCUUUUAGUAAUGUUGUUGAUUUUUGAACCCUGCUUAUGGAUAUUUAAAACAUGUUUACCGUUUCCAAGAACAACAGAAUGGUAAUCAAAAAAAAUGUACCGGAAUCGUAAAGUCAUCACACAUGGAUACAUUUAAUUGUCGGGUAAUGUUUUUAUGCAAAAAUAGCGACAAUACACGUUUGAUUUGUGUAUUUACGUCUGCAGAAGCCCUUGGGAUAUGUUUGUGACCGCGUCUCGGUAACAAACAAUCCCGUGGGCUUCUGCAGAUGUUAAUACACACAAAAAAAACGUGUAUUAUCCCUACAAUAUAGAAUGCUUUAUGACUAUUUGAAAAAAAAAAUCACUACAUCUCAUUAUUAUAUAUGGAUUCACAUAACGCUAUGUCAAGGAUGAAACUUUACAAAAAAAGAGUAAAAAAAAAAAAAAUAACACUUAAGACGGCUACCGAAACCACUACCACAAAUACAAAGUUCCUUAACAAUAUUGCUCAUUGCAGACAUGGAGCGGUCUUCUGCGCAUGUCCGGAAGUGAUUAUCAAUUUGAGCACACGGCAAAAAUACGCAAAUGAUUGCAUGUCCGCGCGCAUUUAGUGUAUAUUAUGUAUAAUAUACUAACUAUAUGUUAGGGUUAGUAUUACCAUGAUUACAAAAUAUAUACAUUAAAGAUAUUUUUUAUUCAGUUUGCUUGAAUCGGGUAUAUACUGGAGUCUGUAAUUUAUCACAGGCGCUCUAGGUUUGCAAUGAGUCACUGUCUAUAUAUAUAUAGUAUUGCUUAUACUUAUGUGUACUAUUACAUCAAUGAAUUAAUACCUGCUGUCUUAUAUGUGUCGUAUUGAAUCAUAUUUAUUUGUAAACAAUGCCUAAUUAACAGACCCAUACAUUCAUACAUGUUUAUAUAUACAGGUCGGAACGACUCCACGACUGAUCGUCAGAAUAAUCGACCCAAUGCCUUUGGUAACAAAGAGUGUUACUGCAAAACUGAAACUCUGUGUCUACAUAUGAUCGAAUCCAUCCUACUGCAGGAACAACCACGCAAUAGUUAGACCUCCGGUUUUCUGGUUGCCAUGGUAAUAAAGAUGAAAGACAAUACAUACAGAACAUUGACGGGGUGUUUUUUAAAUUGGAGCAUGUAGGGCAUGUUGUGUCUCAGUCGCAACGAUUAUAACUGAACACGGCAACGAUCAAAACCGUACAAAGAUGCAUACAGAUUGUUGAUGGACGUAUUUUCAGAUUUGGAGCAUAUCGGGUUGUGGUUUAGUGUUCAACGGCAAAGAUCACUGCCAUACAUCAUGGACGAUGGUGGACGAAGGUAUUGACAGGUCUGAACCAUAAAUGGGUUACCAUGGAAACGUACAUCUACAUAGAAGCAAUGAAGCUGCAGUAGUGUAAUAGUCAACCUGUACGAAGUUAUAUAGCAGAUUUCAGACAGUAGGGUGUGUUUGUUUACUUUUUCAUUUCUUGUGGCAACACUUUGAUUUAUUUAUUUCUCGUUUUACACAUGCCUUUCUGUAUCUAUAUACACAACAGGGUUACCAUGGAAACUUGUAUCUACAUCCCCGCAAUGGUAUAAUGGAUGACGGACGUUCAGAUGUAAAAAGUUAUACAGCAAAUUUUGGAGCAUAUAGGUUGUGUAUGUUUACUUUUCAUUUCUUGUAGCGACACUUUGAUAUAUUUGUUUCUGUUUUUACACAUGCAUUUCUGUAUCUAUAUACUCAACAGGGUUACCAUGGAAACUUAAUUUACAUCUAACCAUUGAUAUAAAUGGAUGACCGACGUCGACGUCUACAAUCAGCAGUGAGAGAAAUUCUGCAAACGAUCACGUGACAUACGCUUAGCUCCAAGACCUGUAAAUGAAUUCAGAUUUUUCCAAAUUGGUGGCGGAUGUUUUAUACAAGCACAUGUGAAGAUAUAAUGUUGUAGAUGUUGCAACUAUGAUGCUUGAUAUUGACAACCACGUGCACGGAUGUCAUGUUGUAGAUUUCACAGUGGUUAAGUGGAUGGUGCAGCUUGGUCCUUUUUCUAAGGCACAACGGGCCAGAGUGACUGAAGAGUUUCGGGCAUGCGCAUACAGUUUCUGGCUUUGGUGAUUGUAAAGCUCGAAGCGUUUAAUGAGAAACUCAAACUUUCCGGCGAGCAGCAGUUUCCUGUAUCAUGCAAGUAAGGACGUUUAAUCUUGUAAACAGUGUCUUUUCAUUUUCAAAGAGGGUUGAAAAACCCAGCUUUCCAAGUAUUGGUGAGAAACCCAGGAAAAACGCAAUGCGGCUAUUUAUUUUAUUGUAUUAACAGGAAGAAACUUUUAAUUGAUGGAACUAUAUAACUGCCGAAGGACAGCCUUGCUGGUACCAUAAAGCUGCUGAUAACCAGAGGUGCACUAGUACCAGUCGAUACCGGUCACCAGAGAUGCACUGGUACCCUAUCGAUGCCUAUCAUCAGAGGGGUGCUGGGUCCCUUAUGACAACAUAUUAAUCAACUGUUUUC